RNAcentral lists this ribosomal RNA (587 nucleotides) under uncultured bacterium. RNAcentral describes it as "partial 16S ribosomal RNA". It matches the Rfam family "Bacterial small subunit ribosomal RNA", at positions 355 to 1375 of the family's 1533-position model. The record is from RNAcentral.
UGGGGAAUUUUGGACAAUGGGCGAAAGCCUGAUCCAGCAAUGCCGCGUGUGUGAAGAAGGCCUUCGGGUUGUAAAGCACUUUUGUCCGGAAAGAAAUCCUUGGCUCUAAUACAGUCGGGGGAUGACGGUACCGGAAGAAUAAGCACCGGCUAACUACGUGCCAGCAGCCGCGGUAAUACGUAGGGUGCAAGCGUUAAUCGGAAUUACUGGGCGUAAAGCGUGCGCAGGCGGUUUGCUAAGACCGAUGUGAAAUCCCCGGGCUCAACCUGGGAACUGCAUUGGUGACUGGCAGGCUAGAGUAUGGCAGAGGGGGGUAGAAUUCCACGUGUAGCAGUGAAAUGCGUAGAGAUGUGGAGGAAUACCGAUGGCGAAGGCAGCCCCCUGGGCCAAAUACCGACGCUCAUGCACGAAAGCGUGGGGAGCAAACAGGAUUAGAUACCCUGGUAGUCCACGCCCUAAAACGAUGUCAACUAGUUGUUGGGGAUUCAUUUCCUUAGUAACGUAGCUAACGCGUGAAGUUGACCGCCUGGGGAGUACGGUCGCAAGAUUAAAACUCAAAUGAAUUGACGGGGUCAUAGCUGUUUCCU